ACGGAUAUCUCGGCUCUCGCCACGAUGAAGAAUGUAGCGAAAUGCGAUACUUAGUGUGAAUUGCAGAAUCCCGUGAAUCAUCGAGUCUUUGAACGCAAGUUGCGCCCGAGGCCUCGGCCAAGGGCACGUCUGCUUGGGCGUCGCA
RNAcentral lists this ribosomal RNA (145 nucleotides) under Thuja plicata (western redcedar). Its description in RNAcentral is "5.8S ribosomal RNA". It matches the Rfam family "5.8S ribosomal RNA". Rfam says of the family: 5.8S ribosomal RNA (5.8S rRNA) is a component of the large subunit of the eukaryotic ribosome. It is transcribed by RNA polymerase I as part of the 45S precursor that also contains 18S and 28S rRNA. Lineage: Eukaryota; Viridiplantae; Streptophyta; Pinopsida; Cupressales; Cupressaceae. RNAcentral also lists the same sequence under 3 other names. The record is from RNAcentral.